Molecule: ribosomal RNA, 254 nt
Filed under: uncultured bacterium
Lineage: Bacteria
Description: partial 16S ribosomal RNA
Rfam family: Bacterial small subunit ribosomal RNA
Source: RNAcentral
UACGUAGGGACCAAGCGUUGUCCGGAAUCAUUGGGCGUAAAGCGCGCGUAGGCGGCCCGGGUAAGUCCGUUGUAAAAGUCGAAGGCUCAACCUUCGAAAGCCGAUGGAUACUGCCGGGCUAGAGUACGGAAGAGGCGAGUAGAAUUCCUGGUGUAGCGGUGGAAUGCGCAGAUAUCAGGAGGAAUACCCAUAGCGAAGGCAGCUCGCUGGGACGUUACUGACGCUGAGGCGCGAAAGCGUGGGGAGCGAACAGG